Molecule: ribosomal RNA, 462 nt
Filed under: uncultured bacterium
Lineage: Bacteria
Description: partial 16S ribosomal RNA
Rfam family: Bacterial small subunit ribosomal RNA
Source: RNAcentral
GACGAACGCUGGCGGCGUGCUUAACACAUGCAAGUCGAGCGGUAAGGCCUUUCGGGGUACACGAGCGGCGAACGGGUGAGUAACACGUGGGUGAUCUGCCCUGCACUUCGGGAUAAGCCUGGGAAACUGGGUCUAAUACCGGAUAUGACCUCCUAUCGCAUGGUGGGUGGUGGAAAGAUUUAUCGGUGCAGGAUGGGCCCGCGGCCUAUCAGCUUGUUGGUGAGGUAAUGGCCUACCAAGGCGACGACGGGUAGCCGACCUGAGAGGGUGACCGGCCACACUGGGACUGAGACACGGCCCAGACUCCUACGGGAGGCAGCAGUGGGGAAUAUUGCACAAUGGGCGAAAGCCUGAUGCAGCGACGCCGCGUGAGGGAUGACGGCCUUCGGGUUGUAAACCUCUUUCAGCAGGGACGAAGCGCAAGUGACGGUACCUGCAGAAGAAGCACCGGCUAACUACGUG